RNAcentral lists this ribosomal RNA (512 nucleotides) under uncultured bacterium. RNAcentral describes it as "partial 16S ribosomal RNA". It matches the Rfam family "Bacterial small subunit ribosomal RNA", at positions 28 to 507 of the family's 1533-position model. The record is from RNAcentral.
GACGAACGCUGGCGGCGUGCCUAAUACAUGCAAGUCGAGCGAGCGGAACUAACAGAUUUACUUCGGUAAUGACGUUAGGAAAGCGAGCGGCGGAUGGGUGAGUAACACGUGGGGAACCUGCCCCAUAGUCUGGGAUACCACUUGGAAACGGGUGCUAAUACCGGAUAAGAAAGCAGAUCGCAUGAUCAGCUUUUAAAAGGCGGCGUAAGCUGUCGCUAUGGGAUGGCCCCGCGGUGCAUUAGCUAGUUGGUAAGGUAAAGGCUUACCAAGGCGAUGAUGCAUAGCCGAGUUGAGAGACUGAUCGGCCACAUUGGGACUGAGACACGGCCCAAACUCCUACGGGAGGCAGCAGUAGGGAAUCUUCCACAAUGGACGCAAGUCUGAUGGAGCAACGCCGCGUGAGUGAAGAAGGUUUUCGGAUCGUAAAGCUCUGUUGUUGGUGAAGAAGGAUAGAGGUAGUAACUGGCCUUUAUUUGACGGUAAUCAACCAGAAAGUCACGGCUAACUACGUG